Molecule: ribosomal RNA, 886 nt
Filed under: Podonectria sichuanensis
Lineage: Eukaryota; Fungi; Ascomycota; Dothideomycetes; Podonectriaceae
Description: partial large subunit ribosomal RNA
Rfam family: Eukaryotic large subunit ribosomal RNA
Source: RNAcentral
GCGGAGGAAAAGAAACCAACAGGGAUUGCCUCAGUAACGGCGAGUGAAGCGGCAUCAGCUCAAAUUUGAAAUCUGGCCCUCUUGGGGCCCGAGUUGUAAUUUGCAGAGGGUGCUUUGGCAGGUGCAGCGGUCCAAGUUCCUUGGAACAGGACGUCACAGAGGGUGAGAAUCCCGUACGUGGCCGCUAGCACUGGCCGUGUAAAGCCCCUUCGACGAGUCGAGUUGUUUGGGAAUGCAGCUCUAAAUGGGAGGUAAAUUUCUUCUAAAGCUAAAUACUGGCCCGAGACCGAUAGCGCACAAGUAGAGUGAUCGAAAGAUGAAAAGCACUUUGGAAAGAGAGUCAAACAGCACGUGAAAUUGUUGAAAGGGAAGCGCUUGCAGCCAGACUUGCCUGCAGUUGCUCAUCCGGGCUUUUGCCCGGUGCACUCUUCUGCAGGCAGGCCAGCAUCAGUCUGGGCGGCUGGAUAAAGGCCUCUAUCACGUACCUGCCUUCGGGGAGGCCUUAUAGGGGAGGCGACAUGCAGCCAGCCUGGACUGAGGUCUGCGCAUCUGCUAGGAUGCUGGCGUAAUGGCUGUAAGCGGCCCGUCUUGAAACACGGACCAAGGAGUCUAACAUCUAUGCGAGUGUUUGGGUGGCAAGCCCAAGCGCGGAAUGAAAGUGAACGGAGGUGGGAUCCCGCACGGGUGCACCAUCGACCGAUCCUGAUGUCUUCGGAUGGAUUUGAGUAAGAGCAUGGCUGUUGGGACCCGAAAGAUGGUGAACUAUGCUUGAAUAGGGUGAAGCCAGAGGAAACUCUGGUGGAGGCUCGCAGCGGUUCUGACGUGCAAAUCGAUCGUCAAAUUUGGGCAUAGGGGCGAAAGACUAAUCGAACUAUCUAGUAGCUGG